RNAcentral lists this ribosomal RNA (253 nucleotides) under uncultured bacterium. RNAcentral's name for it is "partial 16S ribosomal RNA". It matches the Rfam family "Bacterial small subunit ribosomal RNA", at positions 524 to 776 of the family's 1533-position model. The record is from RNAcentral.
GACGUAGGGCGCGAGCGUUGUCCGGAUUUAUUGGGCGUAAAGAGCUCGUAGGCGGCUUGUUGCGUCGUCCGUGAAAACCUGUGGCUCAACCACAGGCUUGCGGUCGAUACGGGCGGGCUGGAGUUCGGUAGGGGAGACUGGAAUUCCUGGUGUAGCGGUGAAAUGCGCAGAUAUCAGGAGGAACACCGGUGGCGAAGGCGGGUCUCUGGACAGUUCCUGACGCUGAGGCACGAAGGUCAGGGGAGCAAACGGG